ACACACGCAGUCGAGCGCACUUCGGUUGAGCGGCGAACGGCUGAGUAACACGUCGGAACCUACCUUGGACUCAGGGAUAACUCCUCGAAAGAGGGGCUAAUACCGGAUAGUCCCGCAAGGGUAAAGCUUUUGCGGUCCAAGAGGGGCCUGCGGCCUAUCAGGUUGUUGGUGGGGUAAUAGCCUACCAAGCCUAUGACGGGUAACUGGUCUGAGAGGACGACCAGUCAGAAUGGGACUGAGACACGGCCCAUACUCCUACGGGAGGCAGCAGUGAGGAAUAUUCCGCAAUGGGGGAAACCCUGACGGAGCGACACCGCGUGGAGGAUGACGCCAUUCUUUGGUGUAAACUCCUGUCCUGAGGGACGAAACUUUUGACGGUACCUCAGAAGAAAGCACCGGCUAAUUCCGUGCCAGCAGCCGCGGUAAGACGGAAGGUGCAAGCGUUACUCGGAAUUACUGGGCGUAAAGCGUCCGCAGCCGAUCUAGUAAGUCUGGCGUAAAAGCACGAAGCUCAACUCCGUGUACGUGCCGGAAACUGCAAGAAUUGAGUCAUACAGAGGCAUCUGGAAUGCCAUGUGUAGGGGUAAAAUCCGUUGAUCCAUGGUAGAACGCCAAAAGCGAAAGCAGGAUGCUGGGUAUGUACUGACGGUCAGGGACGAAAGCGUGGGUAGCGAACGGGAUUAGAUACCCCGGUAGUCCACGCCCUAAACGAUGCGUGUUCGGUGUGGGGAUUUUCAAUUGAUCUCCGUGCCUAAGCUAACGCGGUAAACACGCCGCCUGGGAAGUACGGUCGCAAGACUAAAAC
This 805-nucleotide ribosomal RNA is filed under the name uncultured Campylobacterota bacterium. RNAcentral's name for it is "bacterial SSU rRNA". It matches the Rfam family "Bacterial small subunit ribosomal RNA", at positions 51 to 900 of the family's 1533-position model. Lineage: Bacteria; Pseudomonadati; Campylobacterota. The record is from RNAcentral.